Molecule: ribosomal RNA, 433 nt
Filed under: uncultured bacterium
Lineage: Bacteria
Description: partial 16S ribosomal RNA
Rfam family: Bacterial small subunit ribosomal RNA
Source: RNAcentral
AACGAACGCUGGCGGCAUGCCUAACACAUGCAAGUCGAACGAGACCUUCGGGUCUAGUUGCGCACGGGUGCGUAACGCGUGGGAAUCUGCCCUUCGGUUGGGAAUAACUGAGAGAAAUUUCAGCUAAUACCUUAUAAUGUCUUCGGACCAAAGAUUUAUCGCCGAGGGAUGAGCCCGCGUAGGAUUAGGUAGUUGGUGGGGUAAUGGCCUACCAAGCCGACGAUCCUUAGCUGGUCUGAGAGGAUGAUCAGCCACACUGGGACUGAGACACGGCCCAGACUCCUACGGGAGGCAGCAGUGGGGAAUAUUGGACAAUGGGCGAAAGCCUGAUCCAGCAAUGCCGCGUGAGUGAUGAAGGCCUUAGGGUUGUAAAGCUCUUUUACCCGGGAUGAUAAUGACAGUACCGGGAGAAUAAGCUCCGGCUAACUCCGUG